RNAcentral lists this transfer RNA (85 nucleotides) under Candidatus Contendobacter odensis Run_B_J11. It matches the Rfam family "tRNA". From Rfam's summary of the family: Transfer RNA (tRNA) molecules are approximately 80 nucleotides in length. The record is from Rfam by way of RNAcentral. Lineage: Bacteria; Pseudomonadati; Pseudomonadota; Gammaproteobacteria; Candidatus Competibacteraceae.
GGAGAGGUGGCAGAGUGGUCGAUUGCGACGGUCUUGAAAACCGUUGAUCCGUAAGGGUCCGUGGGUUCGAAUCCCACCCUCUCCG